CCAGUGGCUAGGGUAGCUCCCGAAAAGAAAUUAACACCAAUUUCCUGCCAUUAUUUUUGUUUAGAGGGUU
This 70-nucleotide non-coding RNA is filed under the name unclassified sequences. RNAcentral describes it as "int-alpA RNA". It matches the Rfam family "int-alpA RNA". From Rfam's summary of the family: Acidobacteria (1 example), Planctomycetes (1 example), Proteobacteria. Environment (Lake Washington) The record is from Rfam by way of RNAcentral.